Long non-coding RNA from Alnus glutinosa, 773 nucleotides. RefSeq lists it as uncharacterized. NCBI's taxonomy places the organism in Eukaryota, Viridiplantae, Streptophyta, Magnoliopsida, Fagales, Betulaceae. The record is from RefSeq and is a predicted model, not a curated record. The transcript is spliced from 3 exons.
UUAUAAUUUUGAGUUAAAUUUAAAAUAAGAAACUUUCUAAAUAAAAAAAUAUGGUUAUGAGAUGUGUCAGAAAACUUAUGUUAAUGAUCACAAAAUUGCAUAUCCUUAUUCUCUUUAGUGUGCAAGCCGAUAACCUUCCCCAAACCUCAUUCACUCCAUCUUCACCUCCCAUAUUGCCUCCUUAUUCCUUUGAACUUGAUAUUGGAGAAUUACAUUUGUGCCUUACACGUGAAAUUGGUCAUUGUGAUAGAUUGAAAACCACAUGGCCAUUUCCCGACUAUGUUUAUGAAUUUUGUAUAACUAAUGGUUUUGCAUAUUGCUUCAUUGAUACCCAAUCUUUAGAAAAACCAUUUAAUUUUCAUAUCCUUGCAUAUUGCCUCGAAGUCAAUUGCAAGCCAAAAUUGAGAAUUAAAGCCAACCAUCGUCGAAGUACCCUUUAUGUUCGUUGUUUAUUGGAAUGUUAUUAUCAACAUGUCACCAACCGCAAUGAUGUCAUUUAUAGGCGGAAUCGUUGAGUUUCAACUUCGAUGAGAUAAAGGAGCCAAGUGGUAUGAGGGAGACUUUAUUAAGGAGUAUUAUGCCAAGCUAAAGAAGGAGGCAUUUGAAGCUGCUUAGAUGGAACCAAAGGUAGAUGCACCUACCUGGAGGCUUAUAUGAUUUACAUUAUCUUUUGAAGAUAUUUUUGUAGGCAAAUGAAAAAUAAUUGGCCUCGUGCCUCAAGUUAAUUUGUACUAUUUGAUGGCAUGAAAUUUAAGACUUACUAUGAUGGAAAA